This 203-nucleotide long non-coding RNA is filed under the name Gossypium raimondii (Peruvian cotton). Its description in RNAcentral is "long non-coding RNA (GRAI_LNC009275)". The record is from RNAcentral. Lineage: Eukaryota; Viridiplantae; Streptophyta; Magnoliopsida; Malvales; Malvaceae.
CCGAAAUGGGUUCAUGAAGUGCAAAAAAAAUUCAAAAAAAAAUUCAAGUUGUAUUCGUAAGUUUCUCAUUGAAAUUUGAAGUAUUGAAAAAAAAUGAAAAUUGAAAAAAAAAGUGUUGGAAAUUUUUUUUAGUAAUCAUCUUUUCUAUUCCCGAUCCUCAAAGAUUGAUUUUUCUACCCCCAUUUCUUCUACCCCAACGCCAC